Molecule: non-coding RNA, 126 nt
Organism: Brassica napus (rape)
Lineage: Eukaryota; Viridiplantae; Streptophyta; Magnoliopsida; Brassicales; Brassicaceae
Source: Rfam
GGAAUAUAAGAACCGGUCUCUUAACUUUUAAUUAAAAAAGUUAAGAACCAGCUCUUAAAACUCUUAUUUAAAAAUCGGUUCUUAGCUUUUUUUAGUUAAAGGUUAAGAGACAUGUUCUUAUAUUCC